This 494-nucleotide ribosomal RNA is filed under the name uncultured bacterium. RNAcentral's name for it is "partial 16S ribosomal RNA". It matches the Rfam family "Bacterial small subunit ribosomal RNA", at positions 28 to 507 of the family's 1533-position model. The record is from RNAcentral.
GACGAACGCUGGCGGCGUGCUUAACACAUGCAAGUCGAACGGAAAGGCCUGUCCUUCCUUGUGUUGGACGGGUACUCGAGUGGCGAACGGGUGAGUAACACGUGAGUGAUCUGCCCCCAACUUGGGUAUAAGCCUGGGAAACUGGGUCUAAUUCCCGAUAGGACUGCAGGGUGGUGCCUGUGGUGGAACACGAUUUUCUAGUGGUUGGGGAUGAGCUCGCGGCCUAUCAGCUUGUUGGUGGGGUAAUGGCCUACCAAGGCGGCGACGGGUAGCCGGCCUGAGAGGGUGGACGGCCACAUUGGGACUGAGAUACGGCCCAGACUCCUACGGGAGGCAGCAGUGGGGAAUAUUGCACAAUGGGCGGAAGCCUGAUGCAGCGACGCCGCGUGGGGGAUGACGGCCUUCGGGUUGUAAACUCCUUUCGACCGCGAGGAAGCCGCCUGGUUGGAAGGGUGGUGACGGUAGUGGUAGAAGAAGCACCGGCUAACUACGUG